CAGCCGCCGCGGGAAUACGAAGGGGGCUAGCGUUGCUCGGAAUGACUGGGCGUAAAGGGCGCGUAGGCGGCGGCCAAAGUCAGGCGUGAAAUUCCCGGGCUCAACCUGGGGGCUGCGUUUGAUACUUGGUUGCUUGAGUGGGGAAGAGGGUCGUGGAAUUCCCAGUGUAGAGGUGAAAUUCGUAGAUAUUGGGAAGAACACCGGUGGCGAAGGCGGCGACCUGGUCCUUUACUGACGCUGAGGCGCGAAAGCGUGGGGAGCAAACAGGAUUAGAUACCCGUGUAGUCCCUGUCUCUUAUAC
This 301-nucleotide ribosomal RNA is filed under the name uncultured bacterium. RNAcentral describes it as "partial 16S ribosomal RNA". It matches the Rfam family "Bacterial small subunit ribosomal RNA", at positions 509 to 807 of the family's 1533-position model. The record is from RNAcentral.